GGUGCAGACUUUGGAUCGCAUCCCGGGCAUCCUUGUACCCCACAUGGUAGGAGGCGAAGGUGCUCUCGAGGAGCUCCUCCCGGUACUCGUCCGAGCCACAGAAGUCCUCCACCGUCCGGCUCAGCGCCUCCUUGGCCGACUCCGUCGGCUUGGGCGGAGGACAAGUUCUCCUCAGCCUUAGCCAGGUUCUCCAGGCUAGCUCGAAGCUAUUCGCGCUCGACCUCGAGCUCCCUGACGCGGCCAUCCCGCUCACGCCGCAGCCGGUGA
This 267-nucleotide long non-coding RNA is filed under the name Elaeis guineensis (African oil palm). Its description in RNAcentral is "long non-coding RNA (EGUI_LNC021932)". The record is from RNAcentral. Lineage: Eukaryota; Viridiplantae; Streptophyta; Magnoliopsida; Arecales; Arecaceae.